CCUACGGGAGACAGCAGUGGGGAAUAUUGCACAAUGGGGGAAACCCUGAUGCAGCGACGCCGCGUGAGUGAAGAAGUAAUUCUUUACGUAAAGCUCUAUCAGCAGGGAAGAAACACUGACCUUACGGUCAGCAGACGGUACCUGAGUAAGAAGCCCCGGCUAACUACGUGCCAGCAGCAGCGGUAAUACGUAGGGGGCAAGCGUUAUCCGGAGUUACUGGGGGUAAAGGGAGCGUAGACGGUGCGACAAGUCUGGAGUGAAAUGCCGCAGCUUAACUGCGGAAGUGCUUUGGAAACUGGCGAGCUAGAGAGCAGGAGGGGUAGGCGGAAUUCAUAGUGUAGCGGUGAAAUGCGUAGAUAUUAGGAGGAACACCGAUGGCGAAGGCGGCUUACUGGACCGUAACUGACGUUGAGGCUCGAAAGCGUGGGGAGCAAACAGGAUUAGAUACCCUGGUAGUC
RNAcentral lists this ribosomal RNA (458 nucleotides) under uncultured bacterium. Its description in RNAcentral is "partial 16S ribosomal RNA". It matches the Rfam family "Bacterial small subunit ribosomal RNA", at positions 338 to 795 of the family's 1533-position model. The record is from RNAcentral.